This 484-nucleotide ribosomal RNA is filed under the name uncultured bacterium. Its description in RNAcentral is "partial 16S ribosomal RNA". It matches the Rfam family "Bacterial small subunit ribosomal RNA", at positions 30 to 507 of the family's 1533-position model. The record is from RNAcentral.
AUUGAACGCUAGCGGGAUGCUUUACACAUGCAAGUCGAACGGCAGCGCGGACUUCGGUCUGGCGGCGAGUGGCGAACGGGUGAGUAAUGUAUCGGAACGUGCCCAGUAGCGGGGGAUAACUACGCGAAAGCGUAGCUAAUACCGCAUACGCCCUACGGGGGAAAGCAGGGGAUCGUAAGACCUUGCACUAUUGGAGCGGCCGAUAUCGGAUUAGCUAGUUGGUGAGGUAACGGCUCACCAGGGCGACGAUCCGUAGCUGGUUUGAGAGGACGACCAGCCACACUGGGACUGAGACACGGCCCAGACUCCUACGGGAGGCAGCAGUGGGGAAUUUUGGACAAUGGGGGCAACCCUGAUCCAGCCAUCCCGCGUGUGCGAUGAAGGCCUUCGGGUUGUAAAGCACUUCUGGCAGGAAAGAAACGUCGCGGGCUAAUACCCCGUGGAACUGACGGUACCUGCAGAAUAAGCACCGGCUAACUACGUG